Molecule: transfer RNA, 73 nt
Filed under: Schizosaccharomyces octosporus yFS286
Lineage: Eukaryota; Fungi; Ascomycota; Schizosaccharomycetes; Schizosaccharomycetales; Schizosaccharomycetaceae
Description: tRNA-Arg (ACG) (tRNA-Arg-ACG-3-1)
Rfam family: tRNA
About the family: Transfer RNA (tRNA) molecules are approximately 80 nucleotides in length.
Source: RNAcentral
GGCCUCGUGGCCCAAUGGUCAAGGCGCCUGACUACGGAUCAGGAGAUUCCAGGUUCGAAUCCUGGCGGGGUCA